RNAcentral lists this ribosomal RNA (494 nucleotides) under uncultured bacterium. Its description in RNAcentral is "partial 16S ribosomal RNA". It matches the Rfam family "Bacterial small subunit ribosomal RNA", at positions 30 to 507 of the family's 1533-position model. The record is from RNAcentral.
AUUGAACGCUGGCGGCAUGCUUUACACAUGCAAGUCGAACGGCAGCGGGGAGGAGCUUGCUUCUCUGCCGGCGAGUGGCGAACGGGUGAGUCAUACAUCGGAACGUGUCGAGAAGAGGGGGAUAACCACCCGAAAGGGUGGCUAAUACCGCAUAAAUUCUGAGGAAGAAAGCUGGGGACCUGGGAAUAGGCCUAGCGCUUUUUGAGCGGCCGAUGUCGGAUUAGCUAGUUGGUGAGGUAAAGGCUCACCAAGGCGAAGAUCUGUAGCGGGUCUGAGAGGAUGAUCCGCCACACUGGGACUGAGACACGGCCCAGACUCCUACGGGAGGCAGCAGUGGGGAAUUUUGGACAAUGGGGGCAACCCUGAUCCAGCAAUGCCGCGUGUAUGAAGAAGGCCUUAGGGUUGUAAAGUACUUUUGUUAGGGAAGAAAAGUCAGCUGUGAAUAAUGGCUGAUACUGACGGUACCUAAAGAAUAAGCACCGGCUAACUACGUG